This 465-nucleotide ribosomal RNA is filed under the name Vreelandella stevensii. RNAcentral's name for it is "partial 16S ribosomal RNA". It matches the Rfam family "Bacterial small subunit ribosomal RNA", at positions 338 to 795 of the family's 1533-position model. Lineage: Bacteria; Pseudomonadati; Pseudomonadota; Gammaproteobacteria; Oceanospirillales; Halomonadaceae. The record is from RNAcentral.
CCUACGGGUGGCUGCAGUGGGGAAUAUUGGACAAUGGGGGCAACCCUGAUCCAGCCAUGCCGCGUGUGUGAAGAAGGCCCUCGGGUUGUAAAGCACUUUCAGUGAGGAAGAACGCCUGGUGGUUAAUACCCAUCAGGAAAGACAUCACUCACAGAAGAAGCACCGGCUAACUCCGUGCCAGCAGCCGCGGUAAUACGGAGGGUGCGAGCGUUAAUCGGAAUUACUGGGCGUAAAGCGCGCGUAGGUGGCUUGAUAAGCCGGUUGUGAAAGCCCCGGGCUCAACCUGGGUACGGCAUCCGGAACUGUCAAGCUAGAGUGCAGGAGAGGAAGGUAGAAUUCCCGGUGUAGCGGUGAAAUGCGUAGAGAUCGGGAGGAAUACCAGUGGCGAAGGCGGCCUUCUGGACUGACACUGACACUGAGGUGCGAAAGCGUGGGUAGCAAACAGGAUUAGAUACCCUGGUAGUC